Molecule: ribosomal RNA, 575 nt
Filed under: uncultured bacterium
Lineage: Bacteria
Description: bacterial SSU rRNA
Rfam family: Bacterial small subunit ribosomal RNA
Source: RNAcentral
ACGGGUGAGUAAUACAUCGGAACGUGCCCUGUAGUGGGGGAUAACUAGUCGAAAGAUUAGCUAAUACCGCAUACGACCUGAGGGUGAAAGUGGGGGACCGCAAGGCCUCAUGCUAUAGGAGCGGCCGAUGUCUGAUUAGCUAGUUGGUGGGGUAAAGGCCCACCAAGGCGACGAUCAGUAGCUGGUCUGAGAGGACGAUCAGCCACACUGGGACUGAGACACGGCCCAGACUCCUACGGGAGGCAGCAGUGGGGAAUUUUGGACAAUGGGGGCAACCCUGAUCCAGCAAUGCCGCGUGUGUGAAGAAGGCCUUCGGGUUGUAAAGCACUUUUGUCCGGAAAGAAAUCGCACUUACUAAUAUUAGGUGUGGAUGACGGUACCGGAAGAAUAAGGACCGGCUAACUACGUGCCAGCAGCCGCGGUAAUACGUAGGGUCCAAGCGUUAAUCGGAAUUACUGGGCGUAAAGCGUGCGCAGGCGGUUGUGCAAGACCGAUGUGAAAUCCCCGGGCUUAACCUGGGAAUUGCAUUGGUGACUGCACGGCUAGAGUGUGUCAGAGGGGGGUAGAAUUCCACG